UACGUAGGCAGCAAGCGUUGUUCGGAGUUACUGGGCGUAAAGGGUGCGUAGGUGGCUCUAUAAGUAUGGUGUGAAAUCUCCCGGCUUAACUGGGAGGGUGCGCCGUAGACUGUGGGGCUGGAGUGUGGGAGAGGAAAGUGGAAUUCCUGGUGUAGCGGUGAAAUGCGUAGAUAUCAGGAGGAACACCGGUGGUGUAAACGGCUUUCUGGACCAUAACUGACACUGAGGCACGAAAGCGUGGGUAGCAAACAGG
RNAcentral lists this ribosomal RNA (253 nucleotides) under uncultured bacterium. Its description in RNAcentral is "partial 16S ribosomal RNA". It matches the Rfam family "Bacterial small subunit ribosomal RNA", at positions 524 to 776 of the family's 1533-position model. The record is from RNAcentral.